This 342-nucleotide ribosomal RNA is filed under the name Triticum aestivum (bread wheat). RNAcentral describes it as "partial small subunit ribosomal RNA". The record is from RNAcentral. Lineage: Eukaryota; Viridiplantae; Streptophyta; Magnoliopsida; Poales; Poaceae.
AUGUCUAAUUCAUCUUCCUCCGCCGUGCGGGAGGAGAUUCUGCCCCUCAUCCCGUGCCCCGACUGCGGCGACCGGCUUAUGACCUGGAUUGCUCAGGGUGGAGCGAACGCUGGGCAUCGGUUCUAUAAGUGCGUUAACAGAGAGGUUGGGUUAUGCGGAUUCAUAAUCGUCAUUUUUGGCACUGAUCAGCAGCCACUCCAAGCAACUCAUCAGCCGGCACCCUCCGUGCAUCGUAGAGCUCGUCUUCCGGACUCAAAUCAGGACCUGAACCGUGCAUUUCAGCAGGCACGCAAUAUACGUGCUGAUCCACAAGGCAGGGAGGCUUGCCGCUGGGUGAAUUAA